UGGGGAAUUUUGGACAAUGGGGGAAACCCUGAUCCAGCCAUCCCGCGUGUGCGAUGAAGGCCUUCGGGUUGUAAAGCACUUUUGGCAGGAAAGAAACGUCGCGGGUUAAUACCCCGCGGAACUGACGGUACCUGCAGAAUAAGCACCGGCUAACUACGUGCCAGCAGCCGCGGUAAUACGUAGGGUGCAAGCGUUAAUCGGAAUUACUGGGCGUAAAGCGUGCGCAGGCGGUUCGGAAAGAAAGAUGUGAAAUCCCAGAGCUUAACUUUGGAACUGCAUUUUUAACUACCGGGCUAGAGUGUGUCAGAGGGAGGUGGAAUUCCGCGUGUAGCAGUGAAAUGCGUAGAUAUGCGGAGGAACACCGAUGGCGAAGGCAGCCUCCUGGGAUAACACUGACGCUCAUGCACGAAAGCGUGGGGAGCAAACAGGAUUAGAUACCCUGGUAGUCCACGCCCUAAACGAUGUCAACUAGCUGUUGGGGUCUUCGGACCUUGGUAGCGCAGCUAACGCGUGAAGUUGACCGCUUGGGGAGUACGGUCGCAAGAUUAAAACUCAAAUGAAUUGAC
Molecule: ribosomal RNA, 566 nt
Filed under: uncultured bacterium
Lineage: Bacteria
Description: partial 16S ribosomal RNA
Rfam family: Bacterial small subunit ribosomal RNA
Source: RNAcentral